RNAcentral lists this long non-coding RNA (799 nucleotides) under Hordeum vulgare. Its description in RNAcentral is "long non-coding RNA (HVUL_LNC016709)". Lineage: Eukaryota; Viridiplantae; Streptophyta; Magnoliopsida; Poales; Poaceae. The record is from RNAcentral.
GAGCCUCUCCCGCUAUAAAUAACCGACCAAACCUCCCAACAUAAACCCACAGCUUGUCUUGCACACGCAGCACAGAAUAGCAUAGGAGAAGAGAGGCAACACCUUGAGCUUAAUUAGUUGAUCCGAAAGCUAGUACGACCACACCUCACCAUGUCCAAGAAGGUCUUGGUGGUCAUGGUCUUGGCUCUCAUGGCCAUGGCCGGCUCGUGGACCCGGGCGGCAGCCAGGCCAUUGCCAGGUGACGGGUCGCACGCCGAGGAGCCCGCCUCUACGGGCCCCGUCCGCACCGUGCUGCCUGGACCGACGUCGCAGUGGCGAGGGCACAUGCUUCUGUCGUUCGAGAAGAAGACGAUGGCGGGCGCAUCUUGUGGACCCGGAAGUACCCAUGAUAAGAAUAACGCACCCUGCCCCCCGUCGAGAUGAAUACACACGUUGCAGCAAAUUCUUGUGUCUUUGCAUGGAGCCAAACUGAAGCUAUACUCGAUUCGUAGUGAUGUAACAUGAUGAACGAUCGUUAGGGUUUACAAGUCCCUGUUUAUUAAUUUCUUGCAAAAUAAUGUAUUUUCCCUUUCAUUUUAGUUGGAGACCGAACCUGAAGAUAUGUGGUAAUAAUCCUGUUCCUAGAUUAACGUACUUAUUUGCAAUGAUCAAAGCGACAAGCAUUGGUUAAAAGCAACCUUAUCUCUACUAAUAAAAGCAUGAGAGGGCAGAUUCAACUCACCAUCUCAGCCGUCUAAUCACUUAAUCAACGAUCAUAAAGCAUCGUUAAUGAAAUUGUUGGCCUCGCUAACGAAACCCC